AUAAAAGCGUUGAUGAGGAGAAGUACGAAGCAGAUGCUCUUAGAGAGAACCACCUUGGCUGAAAGUGGUUUAGCCUCUCUGUUUCCGAAAUGCCCCUCGGAGUCCACUGUCGAAUAAAGGGAAGUAGACAGGGGCGGUACCCACCGUUAACAGGUUUAAGUUGAAGGUAAGUGAAUUACCUUAAACAGAGUGGAACCGCGCCAACUGCGUCUCUGUC
This 217-nucleotide non-coding RNA is filed under the name Bacillus coahuilensis. Its description in RNAcentral is "T-box sequence". It matches the Rfam family "T-box leader". From Rfam's summary of the family: Uncharged tRNA acts as the effector for transcription antitermination of genes in the T-box leader family. T-boxes are found upstream of many aminoacyl-tRNA synthetase genes and some amino acid biosynthetic genes usually in Gram-positive bacteria. The anticodon of a specific tRNA base pairs to a specifier sequence within the T-box motif, and the NCCA acceptor tail of the tRNA base pairs to a conserved bulge in the T-box antiterminator hairpin. Lineage: Bacteria; Bacillati; Bacillota; Bacilli; Caryophanales; Bacillaceae. The record is from RNAcentral.